Molecule: ribosomal RNA, 600 nt
Filed under: uncultured bacterium
Lineage: Bacteria
Description: bacterial SSU rRNA
Rfam family: Bacterial small subunit ribosomal RNA
Source: RNAcentral
GCAGCUUUCUGGAACUGUAAACUGACACUGAGGCACGAAAGCGUGGGGAGCAAACAGGAUUAGAUACCCUGGUAGUCCACGCCGUAAACGAUGAGCACUAGUUGUUGGGUCCUACACGGAUUCAGUGACGCAGUUAACGCAAAUAAGUGCUCCGCCUGGGGAGUACGGUGGCAACACUAAAACUCAAAGGAAUUGACGGGGACCCGCACAAGCAGCGGAGCAUGUGGUUUAAUUCGAAGCAACGCGAAAAACCUUACCAGGGCUUGACAUCCUUCUGACCGGUCCUUAACCGGACCUUUCUUCGGACAGAAGAGACAGGUGGUGCAUGGUUGUCGUCAGCUCGUGUCGUGAGAUGUUGGGUUAAGUCCCGCAACGAGCGCAACCCUUGUCGUCAGUUACUAACAUUAAGUUGAGGACUCUGACGAGACUGCCGAGGUCAACUCGGAGGAAGGUGGGGAUGACGUCAAAUCAUCAUGCCCCUUAUGUUCUGGGCCACACACGUUGACUGCGGGUUACAAGAGAAGCAAGAGCACGACAUGGAGCAAGUCAACAAAACAGAUCCCAGUUCGGAGACCAGGCUGCAACUAGCCCCAUGAAGUA